CAUGAUAUACAGUGACAGUGUUACGGAAAACUAUAAAGGCUGCAAGAUAUCUCCGUUUUACGAAAAAAGCCCAAAAAAGCCCCGUUCAAUUUUACUUGAGACAUAAAGCCAAGUUAAAUGUCUAUAGUCUGGUGUGUUCAAACCUAUCUCAACGAGGAGAAAACACUAUUUUAAAUACGUCCGCGCUUUGACAAAAAAGAAAAAAAUGUCGUCAACACCGAGUUCAAAAUGCAUGUCUUUUCCUCAACAAUCGCUUCGUUCAUUUUGCAAGUGAAAUAGAUACCAAUUUUAGCAAUAUAAGCUGAUACUAGAUACUUCAAUAAACAUUUAUAGUAUGUAUUUGAGGCAGGAAGUGAUUUCGUUUAAUUGAUAAUUGAAAAUUGUGUUGUUUAAAUAUCGUAUUAUCUGCAUAAAUAAGUAUAGUAGUCGCGAAUCUAUUGUCGUGUGGAGUAUACGGAAAACUAUAAAGGCUGCAAGAUAUCUCCAUUUUACGAAAAAAAACCAAAAAAGCCCCGUUCAAUUUUACUUGAGACAUAAAGCCAAGUUAAAUGUCUAUAGUUUGGCGUGUUCAAAUUUAUCUCAACCUAUCUCAACGAGGAGAAAACACUAUUUUAAAUACGUCCGCGCUUUUUUUUGCAAAUAUUUUCAUCGCUCGAGUGAAAUUUUUGCCCUGAUAUUUUCUUUCAACAAGUGUUCAGUAACAAACAACACAAGC
Molecule: non-coding RNA, 715 nt
Organism: Paramuricea clavata
Lineage: Eukaryota; Metazoa; Cnidaria; Anthozoa; Malacalcyonacea; Plexauridae
Source: the annotation of a GenBank genome assembly